RNAcentral lists this ribosomal RNA (450 nucleotides) under uncultured prokaryote. RNAcentral describes it as "bacterial SSU rRNA". It matches the Rfam family "Bacterial small subunit ribosomal RNA", at positions 355 to 796 of the family's 1533-position model. The record is from RNAcentral.
UGGGGAAUCUUGGGCAAUGGGCGAAAGCCUGACCCAGCAACGCCGCGUGGGUGAUGAAGGCCCUCGGGUCGUAAAGCCCUGUCGGAAGGAAAGAAUACUCCUAGGGUGAACAAUCCUAGGGGAUGACGGUACCUUCAAAGGAAGCACCGGCUAACUCCGUGCCAGCAGCCGCGGUAAGACGGAGGGUGCUAGCGUUGUUCGGAAUCAUUGGGCGUAAAGGGCGUGUAGGCGGUUUGCUAAGUCAUGCGUGAAAGCACUCGGCUUAACUGAGGAUGGGCGUAGGAUACUGGUGAGCGAGAGUGCGGAAGAGGGGGGUGGAAUUCCAGGUGUAGCGGUGAAAUGCGUAGAUAUCUGGAGGAACACCGGUGGCGAAGGCGACCCCCUGGUCCGACACUGACGCUGAGACGCGAAAGCGUGGGUAGCAAACAGGAUUAGAUACCCGGGUAGUCC